RNAcentral lists this ribosomal RNA (216 nucleotides) under Glomeromycotina sp. Its description in RNAcentral is "partial small subunit ribosomal RNA". The stretch from base 40 to 216 matches the Rfam family "Eukaryotic small subunit ribosomal RNA", at positions 686 to 864 of the family's 1831-position model. Lineage: Eukaryota; Fungi; Glomeromycota. The record is from RNAcentral.
GGGUCAGUAGGUUGGUCGUGCCACCGGUACGUACUGGUCUCACUGAUUCCUCCUUCCUGAAGAACCGUAAUGCCAUUAAUUUGGUGUUGCGGGGAAACAGGACUGCUACUUUGAAAAAAUUAGAGUGUUUAAAGCAAGCUAACGCUUGAAUACAUUAGCAUGGAAUAAUGAAAUAGGACGAUCGAUCCUAUUUUGUUGGUUUCUAGGAUUGACGGA